UUCUGAGGCAUUGUCUCAGGUUUGAUUUGGUAAGGAGGAAUUGGAUUUGUGGGAUUUGGAGAGUCGGUGGAGAAAGUAAGCUCAGCUGGUGUUUGGGAUAAUUAAGAGUUACACAGAGUGUCAGGACUUGUAGCGACUUGACUAUUCUGUUUUUUUGGAGGAAGGGAAUGCAAAACACCUGAGGUCAGUAUCAGAAAAAGGAUGACGUUCACACUUCAGUAACAUGAACAUGGACAUACAAUUAGGAAGGCCGUUCUGCCAUCUUCUUUCAGAGUUGGCAAGAAGCUUCAGCAUUCAGGUCUAGCGGAAAAUUCUACUCAAGCAUUAUAGUUCUCCAAAUCCAACUCCUGUCCAUCCAUUGUUCAAAAAGAAGCAAGAUGCUGGAAUGUACCUUCUGCAGCUCUCAUCUGUAUCCCAGUAGUCAUCAUGCCAUUUCCAAUGAUUUGUGAUGUUAGCAAGCUCUCUAGUGCAUGCUUAAAUAAGUCUGUCCAGUUGCACCUUGAGCCCUGAAAACAAUUGUACAAAAUCA
This 529-nucleotide long non-coding RNA is filed under the name Catharus ustulatus (Swainson's thrush). Its description in RNAcentral is "lncRNA (ENSCUSG00005004086.1)". The record is from RNAcentral. Lineage: Eukaryota; Metazoa; Chordata; Aves; Passeriformes; Turdidae.